AAAAAAACAAACCCUGAUUUCGUGUCCAAAGUUUGACCGUCUGUAUAUUUGAAAAAAUUAUAAAAAAAUUAAAAAUAUAAGUCACGCAUAAAGUAUUAAUCAUGUUUUAUCAUUUAACAACAAUGAAAAUACUAAUUAUAAAAAAAAUUCAUAUAAGACGGACAGUCAAACGUUGGCACGAGAACCCAUGGUCUGUCUUUUU
This is a microRNA precursor of Oryza rufipogon (brownbeard rice), 202 nucleotides long. It matches the Rfam family "MIR812 microRNA precursor family". The record is from Rfam. Lineage: Eukaryota; Viridiplantae; Streptophyta; Magnoliopsida; Poales; Poaceae.